AAAUCAAGUCCGCGGGGCAUGGAGGCUGCUGUCGCUGCAGCAGCUCAGCUUGCCCGGGGCGGGAACUCCCCCUUUCUCCUUUCGCCUCCCCAGCACCCACACCCUGUCUCCCCCUUAAUUCUUCCCUGGAUAAUAGCACCCUAACGACAACAGUCAUAAUAAUAGGGUUAGAACGACAGGGGAGGAAAACUCAACAGCCUAAAUAUCUCUGAAAACUGCAUCGCAAAAUGGAAGAAAGAGGGGGUCCCACUACUGUUUCAAAAGAGAGCCAUGGAAGUCAAAUGCUGAGGAUGGUGGCAUCAUAGGAUGAAUGGAGCUGGGUUCUUGAAACACUGCCUGGAGGAAAGACAGCAAAAAUGCCUCAUGAAUCCAACUGGACUGUUAGAGAACAGGCUUGAGCUGGCCUGCUGGAAGGAUGUGAAAGAUACAUGGAGCAGAGCCAAGUCAUCCAAGCCAAGGCCACCCUGAACCAGGAACUGAGAGCUAAUUCAGCAGCUGAGAGUGGAUGCCAGAACAAGCCCUGCCAAGAUCAGCCAAGACCAAUCCAGAUUUGCAGAACUUCCUAGUAGAAAUGUAAGCGCAUGAGAAAUAACAAAUGGUUGUUGUUUUAUGUCACUACGUUUUGGGAUGGUUCGUUACAUAGUAACAGCUAAUUGCUUCAGUUGCACAUUCCUUUCCUCAUC
RNAcentral lists this long non-coding RNA (683 nucleotides) under Homo sapiens (human). RNAcentral describes it as "non-protein coding SNAP25-AS1:22". Lineage: Eukaryota; Metazoa; Chordata; Mammalia; Primates; Hominidae. The record is from RNAcentral.